UACGUAGGAUGCAAGCGUUGUCCGGAAUUAUUGGGCGUAAAGAGCGCGCAGGCGGUCUAUCAAGUCAGAUGUGAAAUAUCCAGGCUUAACCUGGAGGAGUCAUUUGAAACUGGUAGACUAGAGUACAGCAGAGGAUAGUGGAAUUCCCGGUGUAGUGGUGAAAUGCGUAGAUAUCGGGAGGAACACCAGUGGCGAAGGCGACUAUCUGGGCUGAAACUGACGCUGAGGCGCGAAGGCUAGGGGAGCAAACAGG
Molecule: ribosomal RNA, 253 nt
Filed under: uncultured bacterium
Lineage: Bacteria
Description: partial 16S ribosomal RNA
Rfam family: Bacterial small subunit ribosomal RNA
Source: RNAcentral